CUCUCUGAGACAGUGGGAAGACAGUGGGACGACAGUGGGACUGCCACACCAACCAGGUUACCACUACACAAGUAC
This is a non-coding RNA of Peromyscus maniculatus bairdii (prairie deer mouse), 75 nucleotides long. The record is from RefSeq and is a predicted model, not a curated record. NCBI's taxonomy places the organism in Eukaryota, Metazoa, Chordata, Mammalia, Rodentia, Cricetidae.